UCCAUCCUCAACCAAACACCAGAACCAUGACCUGCUGUGGCUGUUCAGGAGGCUGUGGCUCCAGCUGUGGGGGCUGUGGCUCCAGCUGUGGGGGAUGUGGCUCCAGCUGCUGCAAACCUGUGUGUUGCUGUAAGCCUGUGUGCUGUUGUGUUCCUGUGUGUUCCUGCUCCAGCUGUGGUGGUUGUGACUCCAACUGUGGGGGCUGUGGCUCCAGCUGUGGAGGCUGUGGCUCCAGCUGUGGGGGCUGUGGCUCAGGCUGUGGAGGCUGUGGUUCUAGCUGCUGCAAGCCUGUUUGCUGCUGUAAACCAGUUUGCUGUUGUGUUCCUGUCUGUUCCUGCUCCAGCUGUGGAGGCUGUGGCUCCAGCUGUGGUGGAUGUGGCAGCUGUGGCUCCAGUUGUGGGGGCUGUGGCUCCAGCUGCUGCAAGCCUGUGUGCUGCUGUGUGCCUGUCUGUUCCUGCUCCAGCUGUGGAGGCUGCAAGCCCUGCUGCUGCCAGUCCAGCUGCUGCAAACCCUGUUGCUGUCAGUCCAGCUGCUGCAAGCCCUGCUGCUGUCAGUCUUGCUGCUGCAAGCCCUGCUGUUCAUCAGACUGCGGGUCUUCCUGCUGUCAGUCCAGCUGCUGCAAGCCCAGUUGCUGUCAGUCCAGCUGCUGCAAGCCCUGCUGCUGUCAGUCUAGCUGCUGCAAGCCCUGUUGUUCAUCAGGCUGCGGGUCUUCCUGCUGUCAGGACAGCUGCUGA
This is an RNA transcript of Mus musculus (house mouse), 734 nucleotides long. It is a transcript of the gene named predicted gene 2431, with no coding region annotated. NCBI's taxonomy places the organism in Eukaryota, Metazoa, Chordata, Mammalia, Rodentia, Muridae. The transcript has a single exon. The record is from RefSeq and is marked validated.